Molecule: ribosomal RNA, 720 nt
Filed under: Staphylococcus sp. CFC2P.21
Lineage: Bacteria; Bacillati; Bacillota; Bacilli; Caryophanales; Staphylococcaceae
Description: bacterial SSU rRNA
Rfam family: Bacterial small subunit ribosomal RNA
Source: RNAcentral
UGCAAGUCGAGCGAACAGAUAAGGAGCUUGCUCCUUUGACGUUAGCGGCGGACGGGUGAGUAACACGUGGGUAACCUACCUAUAAGACUGGGAUAACUUCGGGAAACCGGAGCUAAUACCGGAUAACAUUUGGAACCGCAUGGUUCUAAAGUGAAAGAUGGUUUUGCUAUCACUUAUAGAUGGACCCGCGCCGUAUUAGCUAGUUGGUAAGGUAACGGCUUACCAAGGCAACGAUACGUAGCCGACCUGAGAGGGUGAUCGGCCACACUGGAACUGAGACACGGUCCAGACUCCUACGGGAGGCAGCAGUAGGGAAUCUUCCGCAAUGGGCGAAAGCCUGACGGAGCAACGCCGCGUGAGUGAUGAAGGGUUUCGGCUCGUAAAACUCUGUUAUUAGGGAAGAACAAAUGUGUAAGUAACUGUGCACAUCUUGACGGUACCUAAUCAGAAAGCCACGGCUAACUACGUGCCAGCAGCCGCGGUAAUACGUAGGUGGCAAGCGUUAUCCGGAAUUAUUGGGCGUAAAGCGCGCGUAGGCGGUUUCUUAAGUCUGAUGUGAAAGCCCACGGCUCAACCGUGGAGGGUCAUUGGAAACUGGGAAACUUGAGUGCAGAAGAGGAAAGUGGAAUUCCAUGUGUAGCGGUGAAAUGCGCAGAGAUAUGGAGGAACACCAGUGGCGAAGGCGACUUUCUGGUCUGUAACUGACGCUGAUGUGCGAAA